UAGGGAAUCUUGCGCAAUGGGCGAAAGCCUGACGCAGCGACGCCGCGUGCGGGAUGAAGGCCUUCGGGUUGUAAACCGCUUUCAGCAGGGACGAAAUUGACGGUACCUGCAGAAGAAGCCCCGGCCAACUACGUGCCAGCAGCCGCGGUAAUACGUAGGGGGCAAGCGUUGUCCGGAUUUAUUGGGCGUAAAGAGCUCGUAGGCGGUUCGGUAAGUCGGAUGUGAAAUCUCCACGCUCAACGUGGAGGGGCCGUUCGGUACUGCCGUGACUCGAGUCCGGUAGGGGAGUGUGGAAUUCCCGGUGUAGCGGUGAAAUGCGCAGAGAUCGGGAGGAACACCCGUAGCGAAGGCGGCACUCUGGGCCGGUACUGACGCUGAGGAGCGAAAGCGUGGGGAGCGAAC
This 402-nucleotide ribosomal RNA is filed under the name uncultured bacterium. RNAcentral's name for it is "bacterial SSU rRNA". It matches the Rfam family "Bacterial small subunit ribosomal RNA", at positions 355 to 773 of the family's 1533-position model. The record is from RNAcentral.